GGUCUCUUCGGAGGCCAGCGGCGGACGGGUGAGGAACACGUGGGUAAUCUGCCUUUCAGGCCGGAAUAACGCCCGGAAACGGGCGCUAAUGCCGGAUACGCCCGCGAGGAGGCAUCUUCUUGCGGGGGAAGGCCCAAUUGGGCCGCUGAGAGAGGAGCCCGCGGCGCAUUAGCUGGUUGGCGGGGUAACGGCCCACCAAGGCGACGAUGCGUAGCCGACCUGAGAGGGUGACCGGCCACACUGGGACUGAGACACGGCCCAGACUCCUACGGGAGGCAGCAGUAGGGAAUCUUCCGCAAUGGGCGCAAGCCUGACGGAGCAACGCCGCGUGAGCGAAGAAGGCCUUCGGGUUGUAAAGCUCUGUUGCUCGGGGAGAGCGGCAUGGGGGAUGGAAAGCCCCAUGCGAGACGGUACCGAGUGAGGAAGCCCCGGCUAACUACGUGCCAGCAGCCGCGGUAAAACGUAGGGGGCGAGCGUUGUCCGGAAUCACUGGGCGUAAAGGGUGCGUAGGCGGUCGAGCAAGUCUGGAGUGAAAGUCCAUGGCUCAACCAUGGGAUGGCUUUGGAAACUGCUUGACUUGAGUGCUGGAGAGGCAAGGGGAAUUCCACGUGUAGCGGUGAAAUGCGUAGAGAUGUGGAGGAAUACCAGUGGCGAAGGCGCCUUGCUGGACAGUGACUGACGCUGAGGCACGAAAGCG
Molecule: ribosomal RNA, 697 nt
Filed under: Alicyclobacillus acidocaldarius
Lineage: Bacteria; Bacillati; Bacillota; Bacilli; Caryophanales; Alicyclobacillaceae
Description: bacterial SSU rRNA
Rfam family: Bacterial small subunit ribosomal RNA
Source: RNAcentral